ACGUAGGAGGCGAGCGUUGUCCGGAAUUACUGGGCGUAAAGAGCGCGUAGGCGGCGUGAUACGACGGGUGUUAAAGCUCCCGGCUCAACCGGGAAGAGGCACCGGUAACGGUCAUGCUUUUGAGGGCAGGAGAGGGACGUGGAACUCCGCGAGUAGCGGUGAAAUGCGUAGAGACGCGGAGGAACACCAGUGGCGAAGGCGGCGUCCUGGCCUGUCACUGACGCUGUGGCGCGAAAGCUAGGGGAGCAAACGGGAUUAGAUACCCCGGUAGUCCUAGCCGUAAACGAUGGACACUAGGUGUGCGUGGUAUCGACCCCACGCGUGCCGGAGCUAACGCAGGAAGUGUCCCGCCUGGGGAGUACGGUCGCAAGACUA
This 375-nucleotide ribosomal RNA is filed under the name uncultured bacterium. Its description in RNAcentral is "bacterial SSU rRNA". It matches the Rfam family "Bacterial small subunit ribosomal RNA", at positions 525 to 896 of the family's 1533-position model. The record is from RNAcentral.